CCUACGUGCGGCAGCAGUGAGGAAUAUUGGUCAAUGGGCGAGAGCCUGAACCAGCCAAGUCGCGUGAAGGAUGAAGGAUCUAUGGUUUGUAAACUUCUUUUAUAUGGGAAUAAAGUGAGGAACGUGUUCCUUUUUGUAUGUACCAUAUGAAUAAGCAUCGGCUAACUCCGUGCCAUCAGCCGCGGUAAUACGGAGGAUGCGAUCGUUAUCCGGAUUUAUUGGGUUUAAAGGGUGCGUAGGUGGUUAAUUAAGUCAGCGGUGAAAGUUUGUGGCUCAACCAUAAAAUUGCCGUUGAAACUGGUUGACUUGAGUAUAUUUGAGGUAGGCGGAAUGCGUGGUGUAGCGGUGAAAUGCAUAGAUAUCACGCAGAACUCCGAUUGCGAAGGCAGCUUACUAAACUAUAACUGACACUGAAGCACGAAAGCGUGGGGAGCAAACAGGAUUAGAUACCCGGGUAGUC
RNAcentral lists this ribosomal RNA (460 nucleotides) under uncultured bacterium. RNAcentral's name for it is "partial 16S ribosomal RNA". It matches the Rfam family "Bacterial small subunit ribosomal RNA", at positions 338 to 795 of the family's 1533-position model. The record is from RNAcentral.